UCCCUGGUAGUCCAGUGGUUAGGACUCCACAGCUCUUAAUGCUGAGGGCCUGGGUUCAAUCCCUGGUAGGGGAG
Molecule: transfer RNA, 74 nt
Filed under: Bos taurus (domestic cattle)
Lineage: Eukaryota; Metazoa; Chordata; Mammalia; Artiodactyla; Bovidae
Also listed under: 2 other names
Rfam family: tRNA
About the family: Transfer RNA (tRNA) molecules are approximately 80 nucleotides in length.
Source: Rfam by way of RNAcentral